Molecule: transfer RNA, 76 nt
Filed under: Actinomycetota bacterium
Lineage: Bacteria; Bacillati; Actinomycetota
Also listed under: 2 other names
Description: Actinobacteria bacterium tRNA-His
Rfam family: tRNA
About the family: Transfer RNA (tRNA) molecules are approximately 80 nucleotides in length. Their secondary structure includes four short double-helical elements and three loops (D, anti-codon, and T loops).
Source: RNAcentral
GUGGCCGUAGCUCAGCUGGCAGAGCGCCGCGUUGUGGUCGCGGAUGUCGCGGGUUCAAAUCCCGUCGGUCACCCCA